This 567-nucleotide ribosomal RNA is filed under the name Myxozyma kluyveri. Its description in RNAcentral is "eukaryotic LSU rRNA". It matches the Rfam family "Eukaryotic large subunit ribosomal RNA", at positions 62 to 648 of the family's 3401-position model. Lineage: Eukaryota; Fungi; Ascomycota; Lipomycetes; Lipomycetales; Lipomycetaceae. The record is from RNAcentral.
AAACCAACAGGGAUUGCCUUAGUAACUGCGAGUGAAGCGGCAAGAGCUCAAAUUUGAAAUCUGGCACUUUUAGUGUCCGAGUUGUAAUUUGUAGAAGUGUCUUUUGAUUCAGUCCUUGCAUAUGUUCCUUGGAACAGGACAUCAUAGAGGGUGAGAAUCCCGUUCAUGGUGGGGAGUCUGUUUCUUUGUAAAGCACUUUCGACGAGUCGAGUUGUUUGGGAAUGCAGCUCUAAGUGGGUGGUAAAUUCCAUCUAAAGCUAAAUAUUGGCGAGAGACCGAUAGCGAACAAGUACAGUGAUGGAAAGAUGAAAAGAACUCCGAAAGGAGAGUGAAAAAGGACGUGAAAUUGUUGAAAGGGAAGUGCUUGAGAUCAGUCUUAGGUUUUGGUGAUCAGUUUUCCUUUUGGUUAAUGCACUCGCCUUUGCCUAGGCCAACAUCAGUUUUCGCGAUAGGAUAAUGACUUUGGAAUGUGGCUCUCUCGGGAGUGUUAUAGCCUUUGUUGAUACUAUUUGCUUGGACUGAGGACUGCGCUUUUGCUAGGAUGUUGGCAUAAUGAUCUUAAGCAGC